UUGGCUUAUAUUUUACUAUUCUAAUCACGUUUAUAGCAGACUCAGUUCAUGCACUGAAUUGAAAUUUCAAAAAAUGUUUUGAUUCACACACUUCUUAUAAUAUGUUUCUUCAUCUGGCAUUCCUGUUGCAUUCCUCUUAGCAGUUCUAGCAUGUUUGCUGUGUAGAGUUUAAAUAAAGACACAAUUGAGCAAUCGGACCAUUAUGCUAGUCUGUAAUUGAUUUGAUGCUUAGGCAAUUAUAUGCAAAUCAAUUCGAGAAGAACUACGUAACUUAAUUACGAUAUGAUGAUGCUAUUUGAGAUAACUAGUAUAAAAGGAAAGGGGACAUCACUACUGGUCCAACAGUACAGGGUCUUGGGACUUCUACAUGGAACUUGAGGUGUCCUCUUUAUCGUACGGCUAGCUUCUGCAUGUUAAUUUUAAGCUGUGAUAUCUGGUGUGAAAUGACAUGUUCAUUGCAUUCUCAAAGCCCAGCUCUUUUAUGCUGAGGCUGUUGUAGGUUUUGGUUUGAGUUGUCACCUGUCCCUCCCUCAGCCAAACAAUGCAGGAGAUAUCCAUAUGCAAUUUUGUAGACCUGCAGUCUAUCUAAUACAGCAGACAUAUGAGAGUGACAACUGUUUUGGAGAAAUUAAGACAACUACAAGUUACAAAAGUGUAACUACGAGUUUCCAAACCUUAGAAGUAAUAUUCUAGGUGAUCUACAAUAUACUUUGCAAUGCUGCUGAGACUUGUCGAGUUCUACUUUGCUGGUUUGAGGACAACUAUUCUACUAAUUUGAGAGCUACAAUCGGCUGCACUAAUACUUGGCACUGAAGAUUUUUGGAAGCUUUGUUUUCAACUCUCACAUUGGCUUGUUUUUCUCUUUGCGCUCCUGUGUUUUUUUUGAAAAGGAAUACUAACUUUGAUUCAAACAAAAGAGUUGAAUACAUUCAUAAUUUCGAUUGGAAAAGAACCCAACCAAACAACAGCUUCUAAGCGAUCAAAAGCUAAUCUAGCCAAUGAGUGGGCAAUCUCGUUACAAGAUCUUGGUGUAUAAUGGCAUUUAACAUUGCGGAGAUCCUUAAACUUGUUUUGAAUCUCUGAAAUAACCCAGUAAAUCUCAUUCUUGCUGCCCUUUUUGUUGUUAAUUAAAUUAGCCACCAUUUGCGAAUCAGUUUCGAUAAUUAAAGAGGUUAAUCCUGCAUCCACAUCUGCUUGCAAACCCCAUCUUACUGCUUCAGCUUCUGCAUACAAUACAUUCCCAUGAAACCUUGAAGUCUUGACUGCAGCAGCUAUGAUAUUCCCCGCUGCCUCUCUAAUCACUGCUCCCAACCAUGAUAAAUUUUUUUCCUUCCUUAUGGCUGCAUCAACGUUCACCUUGAACCAGCUUUGCGGUGGGGGAAGCCAAGCUUUGGCUGUUUUCUUCUCUUUGUCAGCUCCACAAGUCAGUCCUGAAGGCUUUACUCUCUGAUAAGCUUCUAACAAUGCUUCUGCAGUUGCUACUGACAUUUGAUAACCAGGCUUCUUUGCUUCAAAUAAAAGUUUAUUUCUUGCUGUCCAAAUAGUCCAGCAAGUGACAGCCAACAGCUCGAAAUCUAUUUUGCUCAUUUUCUUUGCUAGUUCUUGGAAAACCGUAAGCAUAUCUGGGCCUACCAUAUCCUUAAAGCUUUCUACAAAUUUGGUGUGCUCCCAGGUUUUCCGAGCUGCCUUACAUUCCACCAAAGCAUGAAAAAUGUUCUCAAACUUGUUACCACAAAUUUGACAGAAAGGCUCAUGCAUUACCUUUUUCCUCCAUAAGUUCACUGCAGUUGGAAGCAAAUUUCGAAUAACUCUCCAUAGAAAGAUCUUGAUUUUUUCUGGGACGUUAAGAGUCCAAAUGACUUUCCACUGAUUGCUGCUGUUCAUUGAGCUGCUUGGUGUAUCCGGAACCUUCAGCUUGACGGCUAUUUGGUAUCCACUUUUGACAGAGUAUUCUCCCUUCCUGUCAUAAUGCUAGAUUACUUGGUCUCUGCUGUGAUUUCUGGGCAGGGGGAUAUUCAUGAUUUCAUCUGCAUCUUCCUGCACAAAUCGAUCAAAAAGCAAAGCUUCUUUCCAUCGGUUAUCAUUUGUUAUUAGCUUAGAGACUGUAGUAUCACUUGGAAGUGUUUAUACUAAGAUUGGUUUAAAAGUAAAUGGUCGGGGAAUCCAAUUGUCUUUGUAGACCAGCACUUGAUCACCCCCACCAAUCCUCCAUCUGUAGCCUUUGAGGAUAACUUCUCUACCCCAUAAAAUACUCCUCCAAAUGUAAGAAGGUUUUGAGCCUACGAUUGCUUCCAAAAAAUUUCCACGCUUGAAGUAUUUGGCUUGUAAGACUUUAGCCACCAGUGAAUUACAAUUCUAAAUAAUCCACCACCCUUGUUUCGCUACCAAUGCUUGAUUAAAGCUGGAAAAGUCCCUGAAACCCAAGCCACUACGGCUUUUAGCUUGACUUAACUUAUACCAGCUAGCCCAGUGUAUGGCUCACUUGUCUUCUUUACUUCCCCAUCAGUACCUAGCAAUUGCUGUUUGGAUGUCGUCACAAGUGCCCACUGGUAAUUUGAAAACACUCACGACAUAGGCUGGCACCGCUUGUGCUACUGCUUUGAUGAGCACUUCUUUACCUCCACUCGAAAAACAUUUAUGCUCCCAACUUGAUAUUUUGUUCAGGAUCUUGAGUUUUAUUUCAUUGAAGAAGGAUUUCUUUUUUCGCCCAAUCAUAGAAGGUAACCCUAAGUACCUCUCAUGCUUCGAAACCACCUUGAGCUUGAAUAAGUUCUUAAUGGUCGAAAUUUGAUCCGCUUUCACAUUGUGGCUAAAGAAAAUUGAUGACUUGUCGAAAUUGAAAAUCUACCCGGAUGCCGUAGCAUAGCAAUAAAAAAUUCCUUUGAGAUGCACACAAUCCUUCUUCGAAGCUUUUGCAAAAAUGAGACUGUCAUCGGCGAAUAACAGAUGAGAAAUGGUGAUAUUGUUGCCGAAUUUCAGCCCAUGUAUCAGCCUCUGACUUUCAGCUUGCAUUAGGAGAUUUGAAAAAACUUAUGCACACAAGAUGAACAAAUAUGGAGAGAGAGAACACCCUUGUCUUAGCCCUCUUUGAGGCUGAAUCAAACCAUUCGGCACUCCAUUAAUGAGAACUGAGAAGGAUGUUGUGGUUAUGCAGCCCAUUAUCAGCUCUAUCCACUUAUUAGAAAAGCCUAGCUUCAGCAUUGUUUUUUCUAAAAAAUACCACUCCACCCGAUCAUAGGCUUUGCUUAUAUCAAGCUUUAAUGCCACUAACCCAUUCUUUUUCCCCUUACUAUGUCUUAUUUUAUGCAAGCAUUCAUACCCAAUAAUGAUAUUGUCAGUGAUUAAUCUAUUGGGAAUAAAAGCACUUUGUGCUGGGGAAAUGACAUGCUGAAGAAUAUGUUUCAACCGAUUAGCUAUGGCUUUUGUAAUAAUUCUAUAAAUGACAUUACAGAGACUAAUGGGUCUGAAAUCAGCAACUUUGCUAGGUUUUCUGAUUUUCGGAAUUAAAGCAAUGUAGGUGUGAUUUAAAGGAGCAAUGGUACCUUUCUCGUUUAGGAUGUGCAAAUAGGUACUAAUGACUUCUGUUUUGAUUGACUGCCAAUGCCUUUGGAAGAAAACAGCAUGUAAUCCAUCCGGACCCGGAGCUUUGGUGGGGCACAUUUGAGCUAAAGCCUCUGUUACUUCCUCAUCUGUAAAUGGUUGAUCAAGCUCAUCAUUCAUCGCAGUACUGACUUUUGGAUUUAACCCCUUUAAAACAACUUCUAAUUGAUCUUGAGUUGGAUUCGAGGUAGAAAAUAAAUUUGCGAAGUAUCCACAAAUUUAUUUUUCCACUUCUUCAUCGUCUUCAGUCCAAAUCCUUUGAUCAUUUUCCAUGCCCCAUAUCUUGUUCUUUCGUUUCCUUGAAGAUGCUUUUCAAUGAAAAAACUUGAUAUUUUUAUCUCCUUGUUUAAGCCAAUCUGCUCUCGAACGGUGCUUCCAAUAAAUUUCUUUCUCAGCCAAAAAUCUGUGAAUUUGCCUUUCAGUCAUUUUGAUUUCCUCCCCUCUGUCUUCCUGCUUCUGAUCCUCCGUUAGCUUUCCAAGCUUAUCAAUCAGCCUUUAGAGCUUCUUUUCCCUGCCACCAAAUUCUUAUUUGCUCCAUUUUUUUAGUUGAGCUAAAGAGUCUCUUGCAGUUUUUGCAAAUGUUUGCACCACCGAAUCCCCCAACCAGUUGUCGUUACAAGACCAUUCCGCUUUGAUAAUUUCCUUGCAUGCUUCGUAAGAACUCCACAUAUCUUCGCAAUAGGCUUUUGAAAAAAAAUUUCUUUUAUAGUUCACCUUAUUACUUCUUUCCCGAACUUCCAUUAAGAUGGGAUUAUGGUCGGAGCUCCAGCUUACAAGGUUUGUUGCCAUUGCAUCGUGGAAGUGAUCUGUCCAGUUUUUACUGCAAAAGAGUCUAUCUAAUUUCUCCUCAAUGAAAUUUGAUCCGAAUCUCCUAUUGGACCAAGUGUAAGAACAGCCAUUACUCCCCAUAUCAAUUAGUUUGUUGUCCUGGAUAGCCUUUCGAAACUCGCUGACAGCAUUUGAGUUUCUGUCAUUACCUCAAUUCUUUUCAUACAAGUGAAGGAUUUCAUUAAAGUCACCAAAACAAAGCCAAGUAAUGGAAGAUAAGCCUGCAAGCCUCCGGAUGUCCGUAAAUUCCCGUACACCUCACCCAUUUCCCUCGUUCAGUUUGCACUUCAGCAUCUAUAUGGUGGCUGUUGAAAGAGGUAAUGUUGACUAAGAUUUCUGAGUUCCACAUCAUGGUUAUUCCUCCGCUUCUCCCUUCACUGCUAACUGCAAAACAUCCAUCAAACUUCAAUACUUUGCCAACUUUUCUCAUUUACACAGACAUCAAUUUGGUUUCACACAAGAAAACAACUUGAGGUUUGUGCAUUUGGAGAAUGGUUUUGAGUGCUAAGAACGUCCGGUCAUUCCCUAUUCCCCGGACUUUCCAACUGAGGAUCCUCAUGGUUCUCAACGGGGCUGGUCACCAGCCUCCACCGAUAAGUCCUUUGUUAAAGUUGUACCAUCUUGUUUUUCUGGGUUUGUAUUUUCCCAGCUCAAUUUGAUCUUUGCCGAGGGAGAGCUGCAGUGCAAGUGUAUGGCUGGUGCUGCCAUUGGGCUAUUUAAUCUUUUUUUUUCUUACGAUCUGGGCUUCUCCACGAAAUUGUUUCUCCCUUCCGCUUAGAAGCUCCCAAUCCCUUUUUUGCCUUAUUGCUGCUGCUUAUUUCCCUAGCCUGUAGUUUCCACUUCCUGCGUUUGGGCUUACUUUGGCUCGUUACUGGCCCAUUUUCCACUUCCUCUUCCGCACUUACUUGGCAUGUGUUGUUUUCUUUAGAUGAGUUUUCGGCUUCUUUUUCCCGCUCUUUUUCUUUUCCUUCUUUUGUGAUUAAUUUCCCGCUUUGCUCUACUGUGUCAGCUUCUGUAACUUCUAUAGCUAGUAGCUUGAGCUAUCUUCUUGAAUUUCCAGCUUCUUGCAUUAAAUGUUCUCCAUCUACUUUGCCAUUCUUUCCAUGGACCAUUGGGUCUAAAGCUUCACCUGAUUUGAGAGGAUUAGAUUCAGAUCCAUAUUCAGUUUCCGGGUCCCGUUGACUGUUUUGCAUUUUCUGUUGACUUUGGGUAUCCGAAGCAUCAUCUCCUUUCUUGAAUUGAUUCUGUUCUCGAUACCAUUUAUCUCGGCGGUUCUACUUUAGUUUUCUAGCUCGUGUUGUAGCUUUUAUCCAGUAGCCGUAAGGGAGGUCUUCCUCGGGUUGCCCUUUAUACUCUAUGCACUCCUUAUAUUAAUGCCCUAUAAGCCCACAGUAAAAACAUAAAUCAGGUAGCCUUUCAUAUAGAAUUAGGAUUGAGAUGCUGCCUUCAUCUUCUGUUUCCACUUCCAGAAUUUUCUGAAGGGGUUUAGUGAUAUCCAUCGAGAUUCGGAGUCUUACAAUCUCUCCAAUACAGUUCCCCUCUUCAUCUGUGUCUACAUCUUCCACUGAACCAAUGUAUUCUCCCAACUCUUGGACCAUAUCUCUGUGCAUCCAUGUAAUCGGCAUAUUACGAAGAUGAACCCAAAAAGGUGUGUGAGUGAAUGACUGGUUUACUAUGUCUCCAAUGCCUUUUGGUUUCGUUAACACCAUUAACGCCCCAUCAAAAUGUCAGGGCCCUCCUCCCAUGACUCUCUUUUUAUCAGCCUCCACAGCAAACUUAAACAUAAAUAUGUUAUUGCCCAAACUCUCUAUUCUCACUUCUUUAUUUGUUCUCCAUAUUUGUAACAUAGCAGAUCUGAGACCUUCUAGAUUCACUCCUCUUUGGUGCAUAAUCUUGCCCACCAGACAGCAUGCUGCUAUUUGUUCCCCCCUAGCACUCUUUCUACCCAUGAAUGAUAUCUUAUUCGGCUGCUCUCCUUUGAUUGAAAUAGCUUUGCAUUUGCGAAUUAACUUCUCUGUAUCCAUGCCUUACUAGUUCUCAACUACUUCAAUAAAGAAUUUCUAAAAGUUUUCCUGCAACAAUCCCCGUGUUUAAUGAACUCCACCUUUUUUAUGACUCUUACUGCCAACCUCAGAAGGUUGAGGACAAUACUAUAAGAACUAAACUAGCCGCCACUAUCAAAGAGUGGCUAUAUGAGCCAUAAAGACUCUUUUUUUCUUUCAUUCAAGGUUUUCUCACGAAGAGGAGAGCACCUGUGAAGAGAGACUCUCGCAGCGUCCCAAGAACCCCUUUGCGCUCCUGUUAAAUUGGCCAUAACUGUCGUUUCCUUUUUUCUUUUUUCUUUUUUUUCCUCACUUCUCUAUUAUCUGCAGUUUACUGUUGGUCUCCUAAUGGAACACACUUUGAUUUUUGUCAAAGUUUAUUUCAUGUAUCAAAUGUUGCUGAUGUACGGAUGAGCUGAUAUAAUGGCUUAGGGAAUGUAAAGAGGGAUGUCUGAAAGGCACGCAUAUUGUGACUUCUGCAACUUGAUCUUGGAUCAGAGGCUUUUCUUUCUGGCUGGAAUAAUUGUUCACAUUAUGCCCAUCUUUACUUUCAUUUAAUUGUUGAAAGAUUCUGCUUUUAGAUAAUCAGCCCAGAGAGGUUGUUUCUGCAUAAAAGUUGCAUUUACAAUUGUAUAAAUUGUGUAUCACUAAUUUUGAUUCCAGAAGGAGCUGUAUAAAUGACUUUUUUGUUGUCUUUUUACAAGUUCUUUGUCUGGGAGAAUGCCAUUUAUUGUUUUGUUUCAAUUUUUAAGCAAUGAUACUGCAAUCUCAAAAGGAAAAUGAUUCUCUCAUUUGAUUAUUGUUGGAAGCACAAGCUGAAAGACAAUUUAAGUAAUUCUUGGCAUUGCUUUUUGCGCAAGUGUAUACCCUUAUGCUAAGCAACCCGAAGCCUGGUAUGUUAUAUAGCUUUGAGUAUGGACAAUUCAUUAUCUAAACCUUUUUUUUUUCUUUUUAAUGAAAGGACAUUAUUUAAACAUUUUUUUAUCACAUUGCAAGUAUCAUUUACUGGUCACUGACCAAACAAUAGCAUUGCCCUGAAUCAUGAUCAAUUCCCAUAAAAGAAUUCAACAUAAACUUAUGGAAGAUUGGCUGUUCUCUCUGUUAAAAUGCAGUAAAACAACCGCAAACGAGAAGAAGCAUGCAGUCAGUUCUCUGUUUUAGCCAAAUUUUGUGAUAAACACGUUAGCAAGCUGUUGCUAUUUCCCUGCCAAGAAUCCACCGUUGUCUCAGAUGAAUAAAUUUAUUGCUAUUUUGCAUGUUGUACAGAUAGCUACGGAAUACGGUGGCCAAUUGAAAUGAAAGUUGAGGAUUUAGAGUUUGAUUUUUACCGUUCCCACCCUAAUCGCCCUUCGGUGUAGCCUUAAACUUCAAUUUGGGUGAAUAUUUUGAAAAUGUUAAUAGUUUGGCACAGCCCAUCUACAAAGGUGGUGCCAACCAUGACUUUGACAGUAUAUAUAUUUGGUGCUUUAUUCUAUUCUUCUGCUAAAAAAGAGAUUAUGUUAAUUUUUUUAAAAUUAAAAUAAAAUACUGCUUCUUGCAGGAAUGAAAUGAAUAUGCUUAAUUUAUUACACAAAAUUAGGCAUUUUUGCAAUGGUUGCCAAUGGCAAGCUCCUUAUAUUACACGGGAGGUUGUCAUCAUCACUAACUAAUUGAAGGAACCCAGAUUGCCAAAUUCUGGUUAGCCAGGAUUACCAGGUUCACAAGAUUGAUGGCAAUAUAAUUCUUAAAGGUUUUACUACAUAGUACAACACUUUAAUUACCCUCUGCCCUCCAUUGAAAAAUCUCAUAGUUUUUUAAGUUUUUUUUUCCCCUCCUUUUGAAGAAUGCUAUAGCUAUAGAUCGCAUUAAGCUUCCAUUCAUCAUAGAUUUGAGCUUGAAUUUACGGAGAGAGCAAUUUUAAUUUUAGAUCUACAACAAAUGGAAUCUUAUAUCACUGGAAUUAUUCAUACCACUAUGUAAAGCCAAAGAUAAAGAUUAUAACAGUACCAAAUUCAGCACUAAAAGAUGUCUGCCAUUGGCAGCCGAUGGUGGUGAGCGGUCGUCGGUGGUUUUUGUUUUGUAAAAAGUAAUAUUACUUUAUUAACAACUAAUUUAUUAUUAAUAACAAUUAAUAUAAAAUUUACCAUAUAUUGUACGAUCUAGUAGUGGCUCAACCUUAGGCAAUUGUUUAGGGCUCCAUAUAAACUUAAGGCUCUAGUUUAGGAUAAAUUGAUUUUCUACAUAUUAAUUCCUUGUUUUAGAGGUAAAAUUUUCAAGUGGAAUAAGUUUUAUUUUCUUCUCUAAUAUAUUAUCAAGAUCCGUCUGAAUUCUUCUAAAUAUAUUUUAAUGGCCGAUUAAAAUUCAAAAGAGUAGCAUCUACCUAUUUCAAUAUAUGAAAAUCUAAAAAAUAGUUUAAAAAGCACAAAAAUCAUAUUAAUAUUGGAUCCUUGUCCAAUCUUAUCAACCAUCCAUUUUCUUUUUCAAAGUUCUUUAAGUUGUUAUUAUUCUUAAAAUAUAUUAUAAUCUAAAAUUUAUUGGAAAUUUAGAUCCAUACACUUGUAAUAUAGUUUAGAGAUUAAUUGAGCACUAACUCGAAAGUGCUUUCUCACAAAUAAUUGAGAAAAAAAAAUUACUCCUAGUCUGUUGGAAUUUUAGAUCCGUACACUUGUGAUAAAAUCUGAGAUUAGUCGAGCAUUAACUUAAAAGUAUACUCUUACAAAUAAUUGAGGAAAAAAAAAUUUACUUGUAAUCUACAUUUUUCAAAUCUAUACUUAUAAAAUUGAACAUGCUUUUUUUUUAAUCUGUUAACAUAAACUUUAGUUUCUUGUUUUAUACCUAAAGUAAAGUAAAUUUUAAUUGCAACAGCUAUUUAAAAAUUUUGCAUAAGGUCAAUGUUAUCUUCAGCGGCCCAAGUAUGGUCCAUACUACACCACACAUAAUACUAUAUUUAAAUUUAAUACGUUUCAAUCUGAUGCAAGAGCACAACAGAAUUCAUUACUUUGCUUUGUCAAAGAUUUUGAAGAAUCAACUAAAUGUAGACCACUGCGAAUUAUCUUUUCAAGAUUUAUAUGUGUACAACCCUCAAACAGCACUACGAAAAUGGCGAUGACGAAGACACAGAUUAAAUAAGAUAAAAAAGAAGAAUCAAAUAAAAUGAAGGCAAGCGUGACACUGCCACUAAUCACUAUAUAGGGAUGACAUUAUUUAAUUUAAAUAAGCUACCGUUUGACGUUUCCCAACCAAGUAAGUAACAAAUUAAAACGUUUGAAAAAGAAGGACAUGUAUGUAGAUGAUGCAAUUUAACAAGACUGAAACAAAAUCUCUAAUUAUUUAAUUCUUGUCAUGGGGCACAAAGUGAACUGAAACUUAUCGGAACUUAAGCGUGUUUUAGUGGGAUAAAGGCACAACUCCGUAUUAUUUAAAAAUGAUUGAUUCAAUCAACUUAUCAUCUCAGAACAAGGAAGUAAUAAUAAUAAGUAUUAACCGCUGCAUGCCAUUGCCAAGAAAGAAAAAUUAGGUCAACAGAAUCUAGGAGGACAUACGUAUUACGUGUUACGCAAUUUCUAUUAAGGCCGUAAGUUAAUGUAAGUUAAUGUCAUUCGAUCCCUCUUUGAUUAAAAAGUUAAAAAUUAAAAAAAAAUAGUAGAUUUUUUUUUUUAAAAAAAAACACUACUAAUAUUUUACACGUCCAGAGUAAUAUUUCUAUGCUGAAGAGGAAUCUACUCUAAUUUUAGAGAGUAUACUGCUCUCUCUUAUUAGAGAAAAAUUAUAGGGACUUGGAACUCACUCCCUCAUUCUUUACCAUGGGCCUACAGAAUCCAAUGUAUAAUUUUUCCCUUUACGUACACACGUAGGCAACAGAGCGCAAUGUAUAAUUUUCCCUUUACAUACGCACGUAGGCACGGCAUCCGCUAAAGAUUAGUAUGUUAGUCGCACAACACAUAUCUUGAUCGCAGCCUAAAGGGAUAAACAAUUAAACAUUGACUAACACAUAUCGUAAUCGCAGGCUAAAGGACAAACAUUGAGAGGGAGAAGAAGAAGAAUUUAAUUGAAUAUUGUCGUUUUUCAUAUAUGCGCAUAAAGUCAUAAAAAUGCAGCUAGAUUAUUAGAUUGAGGAUAAAGUCAUAGAAUGCAGGUAUAUUAUUAGAUUGAGGAGAAAUUUUAGAAUACAUCACGUUAGCCUUACAAUUCUGAUUUUGAGCAAGAUUUAAAAUGUCGUCGAUCAUUAAAUCACUGACUUUCUUGGAAAAUUUUGAUUUUAAACAAGUGAAGUAGUCGUCCCAAUUAACACGCAGGCCGCCACUUGGACCAGAAUAGCCAAUAAAUAAAAUUGCAAAAAAUGAAGUUGCACACGGUUUCAGUUUCUUAGUAUGUAAUAGCUUUGUUGUCGUUUCUAUUUUCUACGGGGAAUAGCUUCAGCAGAACAGUGCGGAAGACAAGCUGGAGGAGCUGUGUGCUGCAGCGAGUACGGAUGGUGCGGCAACACACCUCAACACCGCGGAGUUAAUUGUCAGAGCCAAUGUGGCUCAUUGUAAUCACCUCAGCUCUUUUUGAUCAGCUGCUUAAAUACAGAAACGACGUUAGAUGCCAAGUAAUCAAUUCUGUACUUAUGAUGCUUCCAUCACUGCUGCCAAAUCCUUUAAACCACUUUGGCACAACUGAUAACUAUAUUACGCGUAAGAAGGAACCUGCAGCUUUUUUGGCUCUAACUUCUCAUGAACUAAAGGUUACUUAGCAUACAUUCAAUUUGUGCAUAUAAAUAGUACGCCGGGCUAGCUAAGUGUAAUAUUUUUUAUCAUUAAUUGAUUCAUUAUAUUAAACAUAAACAGGCAUAUAAUUAAUUUAUUAAUUAAUUAAGUUGAUAAUAUUUGAGCUUGAUCGAUCGAGCAGGAGGCUGGGCAGAAGCAGAUGAUGAUCUAUACGCAUGGGGAUAUUGCUUUGCUAAAGAAAAAGAACCCAAAUAUCAAAUACCCUUUGCAACUGCACCCUAAAUUGCCUUACUUUAAAGGGAGGAGAGAUUAUAGAGUAAUUUUAACGCAUUAAACCCACUUAAUGCAUAUAAGACACGUGUGCAGGUAUUAAAUAUAACUAUUAAUUACAUGAUGAUUUUUUAAAACAAAUGUGCAUGCAUCAUAAAUACAUUAAGUAAGUGUAGUAAGAUCCCUUUAAGUUAUAUGCAUGUACCUUACAAUCCUCUCACAUAAAUAGUGAGUGAACCCACACUACUCACUAUUCAUGUGAGAGGGUUAUAAGGUACAUGCAUAUAAUUUAACAUUAGCCAGUGUAGUAUAAUAGAAGUACUCUACCCUAGUUUUUAUUAGACUCCAAUGUAUUAGAAAAAAAAAAAAAGGUACUCUAUAAUCUCUUUAAAAAGGAAAAACUCCCAACUCAACUCAAGUGCAUUAAGUGUUUGAGGAGUCCAAUGGCAAUUAUCCCAAUAAAAAAUUAUAAUUAAUUAAUUAUUCUAUUCAUUACUAUGUAAUAUUGGAAGAGUUAUUUUUAGAAACCUCCCCAGAAGUUUAGUGUAUUGACAGUUUGAUAGAAAGUAUUCAUAUAAUUACAGAGACCUCCCCUGACGUUAGUAUUCCGUGGACCGUCAGUUGACUAUUGAAAUUCCAAAAAUGUCCUUGCCGCAAAAAUAUAUUUUUAACAUAGAGGAGGUUGCGCUCGUAACAUAGCCUUAUUAGCAUUCAUUUCUGAUCCUUUGUUCUGCAUUCAUUUCUGAUCCUUUGUUCUUAGUCCCGGUAUAUAAGCCCAUCCUUACCAAACAAAAUUUUAGAUCAAACAUGCUUAAAGAAAAUAGAUAAUGCAGCAUCUAAAAUAAUUUUAAAACACAAAACAACAAAUACUCCACAUUUCAAAGUAAUAAAAAAAUAAAUAAUCGCAGUGCAAAUAGAUUAAACCUGAGCAAAUUUAUAGGCAUUAAGAGUAUUCUCAACGGCGACUUUCCUCUCAUCGCCAGUCUUAAACUCAGCCAAGUUAAGCAAACUCAUGUCGAAACCAAAAUUAGAAUUUAGAAAGGAAAAAAACAUAUUUGAGAAUCAAUUUAUUUUUUGGGAGCGCGUGAGUGAUGAGUUUUGGAAUCUAAAAUGAUAUCAAGUUAUGAAGUAUUUUUGGUGUAAACGCAACAGCCAUGAGAGGAGAGUGACGAGAAACUUCCAAAAAGAGGUGAAAAAAAAUAAAACAAAAGAGAAAAAGGCCAAAAUGAAAAAGACUCAAAAAAACAAAAACAGAGAGGAGACGCAAGGGCAAUCAAGCAAGCAGACAAUCUUAAACCUGAGCAGAUAAUCACCCUUCAUCUUCAAAUAAAACACCUUGGAAUCGGCAGCGGCAGCGGUGGGAACCAAUUUUUGGUCCAAUAAUCUCAAGAUCCCGCCACAGAUCUCCGUCAACUCGGCUUCGAUCUUCGAUCUGUACUCCUUAAUCACGGAGACAUGGUCCUAGUUGCCGUGCGACUCGUCCUACUGCUCGAUGGAGGACACGAUGCACCAGGAGGCGCGCCGUGCGCCGAUGACAUUCUUGUAGGCGACGGAGAGGAGGUUCCUCGCUGGUCGAGGUAGAGACGACAACUUUUUCCAUGUAUUGGACCAUCUCCUCGUACCACUCAGCUUGCUCCGCAAGUUUUGCCAUGUAUACGUUUUCUUCCCGUGGAGAAGGGGCUGCCAUUGUUCCGUUCAGUUGUCUUUGUGUUUGUUUGAAUUUUGUUUUUGUUUAAAUUUUAAAUUUAUUUUUACGUAUUUACCCUUUAUAGUAACGUUAUACGUAUUUUUGUAUUAACGUUAGGGGAGAUCUUUGUAAUUACAUGAAUACUUUCUAUCCGACUGUUAAUACACUAAAUCUCAGGAGAGGUCUCUAAAAAUAACCCAAUAUUGGAAAUAUUUUGUAUUUGAAGAUCAUUUAAUAAGACAGAAUGAAUCAUUUAAUAAGACAAGAUCAAGAUUUAUUUGUAUGUUAGAAAUGAUUUAUGCUGAUCAGUUUAUUUAGUUUGUAGUAGCACUUUGGAGAAGAAUAAAUUUUAGAAUACUUCAAAGAUAAUAUAAUUAUAAUAGUAUUUUAAAAUAAAUACACAUAUAACAUAACAUUAUUAAUUUAUUAUAUGACUCAUAUGAUACUUAUGAUGUAUUCUAAAAUUCCUAAGAAAAAAAUGCAGUUUCCUUGUUUUUAUUGGCUAGCGUAAGGUGGUCAAUAUGAAAAUUUAUUCUAUGUUGAGUUGGCCAGAUAUCUUAAUGCAACUACUCUUUGUGGCAUAAUAGUGGUUCUAUUUUGGCAUUCAUUAUAGUAUUUUUAAUAUUAAAUUUGGUGGGUCUCACUAUAUGACCCACCCAUGGCUAUCUCACCAUAAGACUCGUUGCUCUAUCCCAUAUUCACGUGAUAGAACUAUAUUACCCUCACCACCUCAGCAAGUCCUUCUUCUUAUGGAUUUACUUUGCAGAUUACUGUUGCUUUUUCGGAAUUUUCGAUUUGUCACCAAAGGCAAAGCUGUUCUUGACAAUAGUAUAAAUGCACUCUUAUAGCUGUUCUCGACUAUUUCUUGUUUGCUGUUUCUGUUCUUCUAACUCUACUUGCCAGUUUGCUGGGUUUGUUUGUUGAUGCUCGCUGGAUUUUUAUUCAUUUGCGUGUUGAAGAAUUUAAUUUGUUUUAGAACUCCUCAGUUAUAGCAAAUACGCCGAAUCAUAAAUAGCCUCUCAUAGAAGAGGAAGAGAGAUAUUUUUAUGUGAAUCAUAAAUAGCCAAUUUUCAAAAGGCCAAAAAAAUCAAGGGGAAAGAUACUUUUCGUUUUCGAUCUUGAUUUUAAUGGGAAUGCAGCUUUGCUCUCGUUGUCCGUAGAGAUAGAGUUGCCCUGUUGCAUAGUUUUUGCACCGGGCAGGCAGUUACUACAAACACACACACACACAUAUAUGAUGGAGGUUGGAGGGCCAGUCUUGCAUCUGCUGUUCAAUCAAGAAAAUUAGCUUAGAUCACAAAUUUAAUUUAAUAUUUUUAAUAAAAAAUUUUGCAGCCUUGGCAUGUUAUUUUAGUUCAAUCUUACUCACUUUGGAAUGAAUAUGCUUUGAUUAUUCACUCAUGAUAGCUCAGCUGUUUUACAUUCUGUAACUCUUUGAUUUUAGGUGUCAUGUAUGUAGCACGCUACCUGAAUUUUUAUUAUAUUAUUAUUUAUUGAUAAAUUUUUAUUAAUCACAUUAUCGUUGCAAGGUUUUGUGUUUUAAAAAUUAUAUAUGAUGAUUUCAUAGUCAAUGCAAUAAUAUACAAUAUUUGCAUGUAUAUAACUAAGAAGAAGAAGAAGAACAGGAGGGAAAUCAUUUAUAGUUUCAUGUUUUUUAAUCAUUCCCUUGUUUUGUUAAAUUUCUUUUGUCGUCAUUUAGGUGUGACUAAUUCAUGUUUCUAGAUUCAAAAUAAUUAAUAAUUUUUUUAAAAAAAUUUGAACGAGGUUUAAAUUUAAAACUCUUCAAAAUUAUCCGGACAAUUUUAAUACUGAAUUGGAGCGCCUAUCACAAAUUUAAAACAAUUAUAAAUCGAUAAAAAUUACUAUUCAAAAUAAAGAGAUUGAUUAUUGAUAAAUUGAUAAUCAACGGCGUACUGCAUAUGCUACAUGUGAUUCCCCGCAAUCUUCUCCGCAUAUAUAUUAACAAAGAUUUUGAGAUCUAAUGUAAUAAUAAAAAAAUUGUCCUUGGAGGGUAGUCAUUAAUUGCUUCUCCUUAGACUUUUCUUGAUGGUCUCACCGAUCUUAUCAAUAUCCAAGAAUAAUUCAAAGUAGCUGAUCAUAUUCCCUUCCUCUCUGCAAAAAUUUUGCCGUGCAGCCGACAGACAACGUGUAUCACCAUCUAAUGUUGAAUAGUCAAAUUAAUAAAGAGUUUAGAUAAUGGGAUUGAGAGCAUGCACAUUUUGGUACACGUUACGUCCAAUAUGUAGCUAGCGGCUAUAAAUUAAAUUCUUCAAGCCAAAUAUAUACAUAUAUAUGGCUUGAUAAAUUGCCCAAAAAAAAACUGAUCAUAGUAAUAAAAAGAAAUUAAGUUAAUGGAGUUGUAUAUGAGAUUAUUAUGGGGUUCGGCUCUAGCUCUGGCAUUGUGGAUCAAUCUGGCGUCGGCUGAACAGUGUGGCAGCCAGGCUGGAGGAGCUGUAUGUCCAGGAGGACUGUGUUGCAGCAAAUUUGGCUUCUGCGGCAACACUCCUGCUUAUUGCACUGGUGGCUGCCAAAGCCAGUGCAGUGGGUCACCCUCACCCACGCCGACUAAACCGACUCCCGUACCUGCUCCUAGCGGCGGCGGGAACAAUAUCGGUUCACUAAUUAGCAGGGACCUAUUUGAACAGCUGUUGAAGCAUCGUAAUGAUGCAGCUUGCCAAGGAAAAGGUUUUUACACUUACGACGCUUUCAUCGCUGCCGCCAAAUCCUUUGGUGCCUUCGGAACAACCGGUGACACCGAUACUCGCAAAAGAGAAAUCGCUGCCUUUUUGGCUCAAACUUCACAUGAAACUACAGGUUAUUUUAAUUGAUUUUUUUUUUGUUUAACUGCAUUAGGUGACCAAUUUAAAUUAUACAUACGUUUAUUUUAUGGUGGCUAAUAAUUGAUUAAUUAAUUAAAUGAAUUUUAACGAGGUCAAUUAAUGCAAUGCAAAUAUAUUUAAUUUGAAGGUGGCUGGCCUACUGCGCCCGAUGGUCCAUAUGCAUGGGGAUAUUGCUUCAAGCAGGAACAAGGAAACCCUGGAGAUUAUUGUCAACCAAGUCAACAAUGGCCAUGUGCACCUGGGAAAAAGUAUUUUGGCCGAGGUCCCAUCCAGAUUUCAUAGUAAGUUCGUAAUUAGCUAGCUAGAGAACUAGUCGUACGUAGGUCUCACCAUCAUUAGUAAUCAGUUUAGAUUUAAAUUAACUUAAUUUGUAUAUAUAUGUAGAAGUAAAACAAUAAUAUAUUAAUUAGCUCGAAGUAAUGAUUGACUUUGGCCACGCAUGAAUCAUGAUGCAGCAACUACAACUACGGUCCAGCAGGAAAAGCCAUAAACGUUGACUUGCUUGGCAACCCAGAUGCUGUGGCAAAUGAUCCUACUAUUUCGUUCAAGACUGCUUUCUGGUUCUGGAUGACCCCACAGUCACCAAAACCUUCAUGCCACGAUGUUAUCACAGGCCAAUGGAAGCCAUCAGCCGCCGAUACUCAAGCUGGUCGCCUUCCCGGUUAUGGGGUUAUCACCAACAUCAUCAAUGGUGGCAUUGAAUGUGGUAAAGGUUCGAAUCCGAAAGCGGAGGAUCGCAUCGGGUUCUACAAGAGAUACUGUGACAUUUUGAAAGUCAGCUACGGCAACAAUUUGAACUGCAACAACCAAAGACCCUUUAAUGCUUAGCCGUAACUUGUCCAAGUUAAUCAAUAAUAUUAAUGAUGUGAUAUGUUAAUUCCAUCUUCUAAAUAAUAAAAUAAAAGCCAACAAAUGGGGGUUAAUUACUUGUUUGUCGAGCAUCUCGUUUUAUACUUGCAUGAGGCAAAAGUGGUGCCUUGAUUGGGCCUUGUAAAGUUAACAGUGAAAUUUCACAAAAGCCCGUUUAAACCAGCUCCAGCCCACUUUGUACACCAAUCUUUCCCCCACUCUCAGCCUCAAAUCAAAUAAAAAAACCCUUCCAAAAAAAAAAAAAAAAAAAAAAUCAAAUCAAAUCAAACCCUGCGACUCAAAUUUGCAGAGGAAACCAAAGAACAAACAAUCGCUAAAUUAAUUUCGCACACCAAAAUGGGCAAAAUUCCUCCGGCUCUCCGCACAGCAAUUUCGUCGAACACCCUUCUCAAAACACCGGCACCAACGCAAGCCCUAAAAUCCCCUCAUCAAUUUCUCUACAAAAAUGAAAACCCCUCUAAAAAAUCAGCAGCAGCAAAUAAAUCUGAAAAAAAGACGCCUGCACCGGCUGUUAUCUUCAAAUCCCCAGAAUUAUCAGAAGCCAUAAAAAUCUUCAAUUCCCUCGUAACAGCCACAAUGCAGACCCCACGUGAUCGUACCUUCCACAACUCCCUCCUCCAGUCGUACGCUUCCAUCUCCACCGUUGAUGACUCCAUCUCUCUUCUCAACCACAUGGUCAAAGCUAACCCAUCUUUCAACCCCGACCGCUCAACUUAUCACAUCCUACUCGCCCAGUCCUGCCAAGCACCUGAUAAUAGCCUCUCCUCUAUCAGCAAAACGCUCAGUCUCAUGACCACUAAUGGGUACCCGCCCAAUCAAGGAACCACUGACAUCGCUGUCAGGUCCUUAUGUUCUGCCAAUCGCUUAGACGAUGCUAUUGAAUUGGUAAAAGGCUUAUCUUUAAACAGCUCCCCCCCUGAUAUUUUUACCUACAAUUUUCUUGUCAAGUGUUUGUGUAAAUGUCGCUCUCUGACUACUGUUUACAAUUUUGUUGAUCAAAUGCGUGCUUCAUUUGGUAUAAAGCCAAAUCUUGUCACUUAUACUAUUUUGAUCGAUAAUGUUUGCAAUACUAAGAAUUUACGUGAGGCUAUGAGAUUGGUUAGUGCCUUGAGUGAUUCGGCGUUUAAGCCUGAUUGUUUUGUGUACAAUACUAUUAUGAAAGGGUAUUGUAAUUUGAGUAGAGGAGUUGAAGUUAUCGGUGUUUAUAAUAAAAUGAAAGAGGAAGGCGUUGAGCCUGAUCUUGUUACGUAUAAUACGUUGAUUUUUGGGUUGUCCAAAUGUGGGAGAGUGGGUGAAGCAAAGAAGUUCUUGAAAGUCAUGGUGGAAGCAGGGUUUCUUCCUGAUGCUGUUACGUAUACUUCAUUGAUGAAUGGAAUGUGUAGGGAAGGGGAUGCGCUGGGUGCAUUGGCGUUGUUGGAGGAGAUGGAGGGUAAAGGAUGUAGUCCAAAUUCAUGCACAUAUAAUACAUUGCUUUAUGGACUGUGUAAGUCGAGGUUGACGGAGAAAGGGAUUGAAUUGUAUCGGGCGAUGAAAGAGGGUGGUGUGAAGCUCGAGACUGCUGCUUAUGCCACGCUUGUGAGGGCACUUUGUAGGCAUGGUAAGGUUGCUGAGGCUUAUGAAGUUUUCGAUUAUGCUGUUGAGAGUAAGAGUUUGACUGAUGUUGCUGCCUACACAACGUUGGAGAGCACACUUAAGUGGCUGAAGAAAGCUAAAGAGCAAGGCCAUGCUGUAUGAUUAUGAUUGGUAUGUUUUCAUUACUAUCUCAAUCUCUUUAGUUGCCAGUUAUUUUGUAUGUUUUUCUGUGUUUGGCUGAUAUUUUACUAUUCUAAUCACGUUUGUAGCAGACUCAGUUCAUGCACUGAAUUGAAAUUUCAAAAAAUGUUUUGAUUCACACACUUCUUAUAAUAUGUUUCUUCAUUUGUCAUUCCUGUUGCAUUCCUCAUUAGCAGUUCAAGCAUGUUUGCUGUGUAGAGUUUAAAUAAAGACACAAUUGAGCAAUCGGACCAUUAUCCUAGUCUGUAAUUGAUUUGAUGAUUAGGCAAUUAUAUGCAAAUCAAUUUGAGAAGAACUAAGUAACUUAAUUACAAUAUGAUGAUGCUAUUUGAGAUAACUAGUAUAAAAGGAAAGGGGACAUCACUACUGGUCCAACAGUACAGGGUCUUGGGACUUCUACAUGGAACUUGAGGUGUCCUCUUUAUCGUACGGCUAGCUUCUACAUGUUAAUUUUAAGCUGUGAUAUCUGGUGUGAAAUGACAUGUUCAUUGCAUUCUCAAAGCCCAGCUCUUUUAUGCUGAGGCUGUUGUAGGUUUUGGUUUGAGUUAUCACCUGUCCCUCCCUCAGCCAAACAAUGCAGGAGAUAUCCAUAUGCAAUUUUGUAGACCUGCAGUCUAUCUAAUACAGCAGACAUCUGAGAGUGACAACUGUUUUGGAGAAAUUAAGACAACUACAA
RNAcentral lists this long non-coding RNA (19271 nucleotides) under Citrus maxima (pomelo). Its description in RNAcentral is "long non-coding RNA (CMAX_LNC000006)". Lineage: Eukaryota; Viridiplantae; Streptophyta; Magnoliopsida; Sapindales; Rutaceae. The record is from RNAcentral.